GGCUCCGCAGGCCUCGCCCGCACCUGCACGGCGCGGGGAGGGUCUGGAUAGGGUGGGCGGGAGGAUGAGCGCGUCUCUUUGGUGCGAAGGGCACGGCCCCCCCGAGGCACAGCCUCGAGAACGCGCUCAACGGGGGCAGGAGAACGUGCUUGAGGUCCCAGCAGCGAGGGAAUCCCGUAUCAUUUAAGCGUUCCAAGCAACAGGUAACGCCGAAGCAGCUGUCAGAAUGGCACUGGGUUGAAAUGAAAACAAUGCUGGUACUUUAUCACUUCUGGUAAUUGUUACCUACAACAGUCAGUGACCAUCUGCUCAACACUACAAGAGGCUUGUUUUCCAAACAUGAGUUCCAGUAAGCUGAAUUACAAAUGAGAUCAGUUUGAAUGCAUUAGAAAGAUCACAUGGUGUAUUUCUGGAGGAAGCGGUCAAACGCAUCAUAAAUUGCUUGUCUGAAAAAAGGAAAAGAGAAGAGAAUUUGUGUUAUUUGGGAAAAGGCAGAUAUAAGUGGCAUUUUUCCAUAUAUUUACAAAUAUAUCUACAAAGCUAUCAAUUUCAAAACUGUGUUCAAUAAAAAUGUGGUAUCAGGUGA
Non-coding RNA from Lonchura striata (white-rumped munia), 586 nucleotides. The record is from RefSeq and is a predicted model, not a curated record. Lineage: Eukaryota; Metazoa; Chordata; Aves; Passeriformes; Estrildidae.